GAUGAACGCUGGCUGCGUGCCUAAUACAUGCAAGUCGAGCGAACGGACGAGAAGCUUGCUUCUCUGAUGUUAGCGGCGGACGGGUGAGUAACGCGUGGAUAACCUACCUAUAAGACUGGGAUAACUUCGGGAAACCGGAGCUAAUACCGGAUAAUAUUUUGAACCGCAUGGUUCAAAAGUGAAAGACGGUCUUGCUGUCACUUAUAGAUGGAUCCGCGCUGCAUUAGCUAGUUGGUAAGGUAACGGCUUACCAAGGCAACGAUGCAUAGCCGACCUGAGAGGGUGAUCGGCCACACUGGAACUGAGACACGGUCCAGACUCCUACGGGAGGCAGCAGUAGGGAAUCUUCCGCAAUGGGCGAAAGCCUGACGGAGCAACGCCGCGUGAGUGAUGAAGGUCUUCGGAUCGUAAAACUCUGUUAUUAGGGAAGAACAUAUGUGUAAGUAACUGUGCACAUCUUGACGGUACCUAAUCAGAAAGCCACGGCUAACUACGUGCCAGCAGCCGCGGUAAUACGUAGGUGGCAAGCGUUAUCCGGAAUUAUUGGGCGUAAAGCGCGCGUAGGCGGUUUUUUAAGUCUGAUGUGAAAGCCCACGGCUCAACCGUGGAGGGUCAUUGGAAACUGGAAAACUUGAGUGCAGAAGAGGAAAGUGGAAUUCCAUGUGUAGCGGUGAAAUGCGCAGAGAUAUGGAGGAACACCAGUGGCGAAGGCGACUUUCUGGUCUGUAACUGACGCUGAUGUGCGAAAGCGUGGGGAUCAAACAGGAUUAGAUACCCUGGUAGUCCACGCCGUAAACGAUGAGUGCUAAGUGUUAGGGGGUUUCCGCCCCUUAGUGCUGCAGCUAACGCAUUAAGCACUCCGCCUGGGGAGUACGACCGCAAGGUUGAAACUCAAAGGAAUUGACGGGGACCCGCACAAGCGGUGGAGCAUGUGGUUUAAUUCGAAGCAACGCGAAGAACCUUACCAAAUCUUGACAUCCUUUGACAACUCUAGAGAUAGAGCCUUCCCCUUCGGGGGGGCAAAGUGACAGGUGGUGCAUGGUUGUCGUCAGCUCGUGUCGUGAGAUGUUGGGUUAAGUCCCGCAACGAGCGCAACCCUUAAGCUUAGUUGCCAUCAUUAAGUUGGGCACUCUAAGUUGACUGCCGGUGACAAACCGGAGGAAGGUGGGGAUGACGUCAAAUCAUCAUGCCCCUUAUGAUUUGGGCUACACACGUGCUACAAUGGACAAUACAAAGGGCAGCGAAACCGCGAGGUCAAGCAAAUCCCAUAAAGUUGUUCUCAGUUCGGAUUGUAGUCUGCAACUCGACUACAUGAAGCUGGAAUCGCUAGUAACCGUAGAUCAGCAUGCUACGGUGAAUACGUUCCCGGGUCU
This 1373-nucleotide ribosomal RNA is filed under the name uncultured bacterium. RNAcentral's name for it is "bacterial SSU rRNA". It matches the Rfam family "Bacterial small subunit ribosomal RNA", at positions 28 to 1381 of the family's 1533-position model. The record is from RNAcentral.